AGAAAUGACUAUAAUGUGACUAUUGCAUUGGAUAGAGUUUUCCAAUGGCAUUGUUUUCUACCUAUCUGACCUAUGUUGAGUUUCGCCAAGACUUGACGGGACCAUCACAUCUUUUGACCACCCCAAAGUCUCACUCGUUGCGCCAACACAGCAGAGAGUUUGUGAGGAGGGGCCUAUAUCCCUGAUCAGCGGCUUAUCCUUUCGUCCACCACAACACUAACUCACACAGUAACUGAUGACAAUCCUUUCCAACUAAUGCUCACUGAAUUUAUCCUCAGCGCUUCUGUUGACACAGCAUGGCACCAGGGACGGAUCCAGUGAUCCACUAACUUUUCCUAUAAGAGAUCUAGACGGACCUGAAAAAAGCACCUCCUGUAGUUCCCGCCUAAACAGUAUCGAAAGAUUGAUCUAGAAGCUUUGACAGAGUUUUAGCUCUUUAUGUCUGCCACAUUGACUUUCUGAUGAAUAAAGGAAAAAAUCAUAAGCCUUUUACAAUAUCUAGCGCCAGCCGGCCGCGCGUUAUUGACAUUGUGUAGACCCUUUACUUUGAAAUUUUUUAAAGCUUUUAAAAACGGCCAUUUCUUAGGAUCGAUGUCCUUAAAGUUAGUUGUUCAGAUCAUUCAGAGGUUAUCGUUUAAAGUUUAGUUCAGUCCAAAAAAGAAAUCUGAAAGAAGGUAAAUAUCUUAAACCUCAGCUGCUUUUCCUAAUAUGCGAGAUGAGUCUGUCCGACCAAAUUUUAUUUGGUUAGCCGUCAGGCCAGAAACUCAGAAUCUCAACGAAUCUUUAUUUAGUUGCUUAUCUUAAAAUCUGUUUCAGGUAGGUGAUAAGGUGACGUUUGCAGAGCGGCGUCUAUUAAAUAUCAUACCUUUAUGUUUGAAGCUGAGACCGGCGAUAUUCCCAAGUAAUACGGCAGAUGAAGACACAAGUUUUAGUAAGGGAGGGCUCCUGCAGAGAUCAAUUCACGGACGCUAAUGUUGCCUUGAAUUAUAGUAUGAUAACCGACAGAGUGACGUUUGCAGAGCGGCGUCUAUUGAAUAUCAUACCUUUAUGUUUGAAGCUGAGACCGGCGAUAUUCCCAAGUAAUACGGCAGAUGAAGACACAAGUUUUAGUAAGGGAGGGCUCCUGCAGAGAUCAAUUCACGGACUCAAAUGUUGCCUUGAAUUAUAGUAUGAUAACCGACAGAGAUCAAGUCAAAGUCAGGCCUGCAGCGACGAGCCCCUUUCUUUCGGAUUGUGAAGUGUAAUGUUAAUGUUUAAUGUAGCUGUUUAACGUCGAAAAUUGUUAGUUUGUAAUUGUUUUUGAGAAGCAAAAUAAUUAAUCUGAGAAGUGUUUCCAGUUUUAUAAAGCUCAGGCAUGGGCACCGUAUUGUUUAUUUAGUUAUAUUUUAUACAAUAUCUUUGACCUUUGUCGCAUUAAGUUGUAGUACUACUACUAGUAGCGGGGUAGUACUAGUAAAUACUGAAUACUGUGUUUCGUUUAUUCUAUAAGUAUAUAAAUAUUGCAUUGUGUAUCUUUGUCGCAUAGUACAUAGUAUAAGUUGAUAAGUAGCGAGGUAGUUGAUACUGUUUCGUGAUGUAUUUUGAUCGUACAAUCUUAAUUAUUCGUAUUAUUAUACCGCAA
Long non-coding RNA from Bolinopsis microptera, 1621 nucleotides. RefSeq lists it as uncharacterized. Lineage: Eukaryota; Metazoa; Ctenophora; Tentaculata; Lobata; Bolinopsidae. The transcript has 4 exons. The record is from RefSeq and is a predicted model, not a curated record.